RNAcentral lists this ribosomal RNA (583 nucleotides) under uncultured bacterium. Its description in RNAcentral is "bacterial SSU rRNA". It matches the Rfam family "Bacterial small subunit ribosomal RNA", at positions 8 to 605 of the family's 1533-position model. The record is from RNAcentral.
AGAGUUUGAUCCUGGCUCAGAAUCAACGCUGGCGGCGUGCCUAACACAUGCAAGUCGAACGAGAAAGCGGGGGCAACUCCGCAAGUAAAGUGGCGACCGGGUGAGUAACACGUGACCAAUCUGCCCUCGAGUGGGGGAUAACUCCGGGAAACCGGAGCUAAUACCGCAUAACAUCUUCGGUACGUAGGUACUGAUGAUCAAAGGAGUAAUUCGCUUGAGGAGGGGGUCGCGGCUGAUUAGCUAGUUGGUGAGGUAACGGCCCACCAAGGCAAAGAUCGGUAGCCGGCCUGAGAGGGCGCACGGCCACACUGGAACUGAAACACGGUCCAGACUCCUACGGGAGGCAGCAGUGGGGAAUUUUGCGCAAUGGGGGAAACCCUGACGCAGCAACGCCGCGUGGAGGAUGAAGUCCCUUGGGACGUAAACUCCUUUCGACCGGGAAGAUAAUGACGGUACCGGAAGAAGAAGCACCGGCUAACUCUGUGCCAGCAGCCGCGGUAAUACAGAGGGUGCGAGCGUUGUUCGGAAUUAUUGGGCGUAAAGGGCGCGUAGGCGGUGCGGUAAGUCACCUGUGAAAUCUCCU